AGUGAACGCUGGCGGUAGGCCUAACACAUGCAAGUCGAACGGCAGCACAGUAAGAGCUUGCUCUUACGGGUGGCGAGUGGCGGACGGGUGAGGAAUACAUCGGAAUCUACUUUUUCGUGGGGGAUAACGUAGGGAAACUUACGCUAAUACCUCAUACGACCUACGGGUGAAAGCAGGGGAUCUUCGGACCUUGCGCGAUUGAAUGAGCCGAUGUCGGAUUAGCUAGUUGGCGGGGUAAAGGCCCACCAAGGCGACGAUCCGUAGCUGGUCUGAGAGGAUGAUCAGCCACAGUGGAACUGAGACACGGUCCAGACUCCUACGGGAGGCAGCAGUGGGGAAUAUUGGAAAAUGGGCGAAAGCCUGAUCCAGCCAUACCGCGUGGGUGAAGAAGGCCUUCGGGUUGUAAAGCCCUUUUGUUGGGAAAGAAAAGCAGCAGGUUAAUACCCCGCUGUUCUGACGGUACCCAAAGAAUAAGCACCGGCUAACUUCGU
Molecule: ribosomal RNA, 491 nt
Filed under: uncultured bacterium
Lineage: Bacteria
Description: partial 16S ribosomal RNA
Rfam family: Bacterial small subunit ribosomal RNA
Source: RNAcentral